AUCCCUGAGUCAGGAAGAUCCUUUGGGGUGGGAAACGGCAACCCGCUCCAGUAUCCUUGCCUGGGAAGUUCCAUGGGCUGUGGGGCCUGGUGGGGUGACAGUUCAUGAGAUUGCAAAGAGUUGGAUGCAACUGAGAGAUGGAGCGCGCACGCGCACACACACACACACAUACUCUUUUCUCUGAGCUUGAAGCCUAAUUCACUUCAUUUCUUCCCCAGACCUGGGGGCACCACUGAGUGUCUGAAUGGGCAUUCUAACUCUGGUUGUUUUUGUCUUUUAGCUGCUGGGACAUCCCCAGUGCAGGUAAGAGAGACCCCGAGGUCAGAGCAGAAAGACUGGACACCUUGCCCCCUUCUUGUGUUCCAUCUGCCAGGAGCACCGAGGCCCAGGUGCCUCAGACAAUCCCCGUGCCCAAGUGCAUGUAUGCUCACGACCCAGCUGCAAGGGCUGGGAAGGGGCCCAGGAAGAUGCUGGAAUCAGCAAGAAGUGGGGGGAGCUUGGGAGGGGGCAGGCGUGGGAGGCUGAGAGGAAGUGGAGGUCGCAGAGGAAGCUGGGAGCGGGGCGUCCCGGGGAAGCAGCGAGCCACGUGUCCCUCCGUGGAAGAGGAAGCUGCGUCUCAUCUCCUAGGUGCGUCAGCCCCCGGGGAGCGACAUAAACUACGCAGACCUGAACCUGCCGCAGAUUGAAAAGCCCUCUGGCUCCUCCCGGAAGAAGGCCUCUGGGAGGGCCUCCUCCUCGCCCCAGGCCUACGCGGGGGACGGGGACUAUGCCAACACGGCUGACGUUUUCAGGGACAACAUCCCCUACACCCCUCUAACCCUGAAGACAUCUUCACUGCAGGCUGAGGUUUCCAGGGACAGCAUCACCUAUGCAGCUUUGUCUUUGGACACCUUGGAUGAACAGCCGACCUACAGCAACAUGGAGCACCUCAACGGCCCCCCUCCCAGCAGGAUCCUUGAGGAGGCCACGGAGUACAGCGUCAUCAGAAAGCCUUAGCUUCAGCCCCAGAGCCCCUCUCUGAGCCCCCUGGAGACCUCUGAGGACCUUCCUGUUCCAUUUGUCUGCUUUCUGCUCUCUCUGUCCCCUCAGGGGCCCAGCCACUGAUUGAGGUCUCUGACUGAUGCAGCUGGCAUCACGGCCAGCUCUGGUCUGAUGGCUUGGGGUCUGGUCUCAGGGAACUUCUGAGAGUCAGACAGAGGUCUUUCCACAUCCCGUUCUCUCCCACACAGCUUGAGACAGGGUUGGGGAUGCAAUCCGGAGCUGCUGAGGGAAUAAGCGGGAUGAUAAUGGUAAUAACAGUAAUUCAGUUCUAUUUAUUGCUUAUCAUGGGUGGUGGCUCAGAUGGUAAAGAAUCUGUCCGCAAUGCGGGAGGCUCUGGUUUGAUCCCUGGAUUGGAAAGAUCCUCUGGAGAAAGGAAUGGCAACCCACUUCAGUAUGUUUGCCUGGAGAGUCCCGUGGACAGGCUACAGUCCACAGGGUCACAAAGAGUUGGACACGACUGAGCGACUCACACUUUCACUUAAUCAUGAAUGGUGGGCUGAAUAAUGGUUCUUGAAGUUAUUCGCAUCCAAAGCCCCAGAACCUGGGAACAUUACCUUCUGGGGCAAAAGGGACUGUGUAGAUAUAAUGGAGUCAAGGAUUUGGGGAUGGGGAGACUAUUCUGGGUUAUCCAGCUGGGCCCUAAACAUAAGCUCAAGGGUCCUCAGAAGAGGGAGGUGAGAAGGUCACAGAGAAGAAGAGAGUGAUGGUGGUAGGAGCAGAGGUCAGGAUGAUAUGGGCAGGAUCCAGGGAACACCACAGCCUCCAGGAGCUGGAAAAGGCAGGAAUGGAGUCUUCCCUGGGGCCCCCAGAAGAGUCAGUCUGUCCGACACCUUGACUUUAGUCCAGUGAGACUGAUUUCCUACUUCUGGCCUCCACAAUUAUGGGAGAAUAAAUUAUUAUUUUCACAAA
Molecule: non-coding RNA, 1950 nt
Organism: Odocoileus virginianus texanus
Lineage: Eukaryota; Metazoa; Chordata; Mammalia; Artiodactyla; Cervidae
Source: RefSeq, a predicted model, not a curated record